GGGUUUUUGAUGGAGGGUUUGAUCCUGGCUCAGGACGAACGCUGGCGGCGUGCUUAACACAUGCAAGUCGAACGGUAAGGCUCCAGCUUGCUGGGGUACACGAGUGGCGAACGGGUGAGUAACACGUGGGUGACCUGCCCUGCACUUCGGGAUAAGCCUGGGAAACUGGGUCUAAUACCGGAUAGGACCGCACCGUGAGGGUGUGGUGGAAAGUUUUUUCGGUGUGGGAUGGGCCCGCGGCCUAUCAGCUUGUUGGUGGGGUAAUGGCCUACCAAGGCGGCGACGGGUAGCCGGCCUGAGAGGGUGGACGGCCACAUUGGGACUGAGACACGGCCCAGACUCCUACGGGAGGCAGCAGUGGGGAAUAUUGCACAAUGGGCGGAAGCCUGAUGCAGCGACGCCGCGUGGGGGAUGACGGCCUUCGGGUUGUAAACUCCUUUCACCAUCGACGAAGGGUUUCUGACGGUAGAUGGAGAAGAAGCACCGGCUAACUACGUGCCAGCAGCCGCGGUAAUACGUAGGGUGCGAGCGUUGUCCGGAAUUACUGGGCGUAAAGAGCUCGUAGGUGGUUUGUCGCGUCGUCUGUGAAAUUCCGGGGCUUAACUCCGGGCGUGCAGGCGAUACGGGCAUAACUUGAGUACUGUAGGGGAGACUGGAAUUCCUGGUGUAGCGGUGAAAUGCGCAGAUAUCAGGAGGAACACCGGUGGCGAAGGCGGGUCUCUGGGCAGUAACUGACGCUGAGGAGCGAAAGCAUGGGGAGCGAACAGGAUUAGAUACCCUGGUAGUCCAUGCCGUAAACGGUGGGCGCUAGGUGUGGGUUUCCUUCCACGGGAUCCGUGCCGUAGCUAACGCAUUAAGCGCCCCGCCUGGGGAGUACGGCCGCAAGGCUAAAACUCAAAGGAAUUGACGGGGGCCCGCACAAGCGGCGGAGCAUGUGGAUUAAUUCGAUGCAACGCGAAGAACCUUACCUGGGCUUGACAUAUACAGGAUCGCGCCAGAGAUGGUGUUUCCCUUGUGGCUUGUAUACAGGUGGUGCAUGGUUGUCGUCAGCUCGUGUCGUGAGAUGUUGGGUUAAGUCCCGCAACGAGCGCAACCCUUGUCUUAUGUUGCCAGCACGUUGUGGUGGGGACUCGUAAGAAACUGCCGGGGUUAACUCGGAGGAAGGUGGGGAUGACGUCAAAUCAUCAUGCCCCUUAUGUCCAGGGCUUCACACAUGCUACAAUGGUCGGUACAGUGGGUUGCCAGUCCGUGAGGGCGAGCUAAUCCCGCAAAGCCGGUCUCAGUUCGGAUCGGGGUCUGCAACUCGACCCCGUGAAGUCGGAGUCGCUAGUAAUCGCAGAUCAGCAACGCUGCGGUGAAUACGUUCCCGGGCCUUGUACACACCGCCCGUCACGUCAUGAAAGUCGGUAACACCCGAAGCCAGUGGCCUAA
This 1431-nucleotide ribosomal RNA is filed under the name Corynebacterium sp. HMSC077G01. RNAcentral's name for it is "bacterial SSU rRNA". It matches the Rfam family "Bacterial small subunit ribosomal RNA". The record is from RNAcentral. Lineage: Bacteria; Bacillati; Actinomycetota; Actinomycetes; Mycobacteriales; Corynebacteriaceae.